CGUAUACGUAAGCUCCCGAAGGGAGCUAGAGAGGUAACUCUUUUCGCGCGUUUUUAUUUCCCAUAGGUUUUGUACACAGCCAACAUGGCUGCCGGCGGACAAUUUGAAGGGUGAUUUUGGAGGGUCAAUGUUUUAUUCAUAAGAAUGACGUCAAAUUACGCAAAAUGCACUUCUAUGAUUGGCUAAGACGCUAAUGUUUUAUUCAUAUAUAAUGAAUUAAACACGUUUUUUCCUUCCCACAAUUCCCAACGAGAUCUGUGCGAAGUGUUGUUCUUUCGGACUCUGCGAAUUUCCAGUUUCUACAACGAAAUAGCUCGACUAAUCAUCUGUUUAUAGAAUUGAUGUUCGAAAUCGUGAUUUCUGAGUGAACUUCAUUGGAGCAGAAAAUCUUGGAGGGAACAUCAAUAUUAAUUUAAUGACAUUCCAUAAGAAUAAAAGUAAGUUAAUUUCAUUUUCAUGUUUUGAUCUCACUUGCAAUGGUGAUGUGUUCGCUGGGGUUCGGGGCCCAUCCCGUAUUACUUUACUACGUAAACCUCCAUUUCCAUACACUCCCAUUUCUUUUGCCUGACUUCCAAAUAAAUCAUCUGUCAUUUAGUUUCUCAGAAAAAAUAGGCCUAACUUACCAUUUGUCGUAGACCUUCAUCGGAAUAUGCUUCAUGUAGGCAAAAAGUAAACCUGUAUUUCAGUUUUAUUGUCAAUUAUCAGGGGUAGAUGUGGACUUGUUUCAGACCUCCUGUUUUAGUAACGAGAAACUCGAUUUUGGUCAGAGCGGGAUCCGGUCUUGAUAUCGCCGGUGCUAGCCGGCUAGCGAGAUUGUCGAUGUAGUCAUGGGGUAUGAAAAUAGCGGGGACGGACUAGGCCCAAACUUAAGUUCAAGCUUGAAAGUUGAAGUUUAGGUCUAGUCCGUCACGCUAUUUAAAUCUUUAUAUGAAUAAGUAUAAUUCUCAGCAGCUUCUUUUAUUCAAAAACUUUUUACUUCAGAGUAAUCAUGAAUGAAAUGAUUUAGUGUUAGAUUUGAAUGAAAUGUCUUAGACGCAAAUCAAGUUUCCAUUUGAACAGGAUGCCCUGGGCCUGGCCUGGGGUGGUAUUCUGAAAAAUUCUUAGUGUUUACUUCAUUCAAAUGUGUUGUGAUUUGACUUUAGUUAUAUACAGGACCAGUAUAGACCAGGUCCUGAUUCAGCUAUACAGCUGGAGCAAUAUUGGUUGGAAUCAUUUUACUUUAAUACACAGUAAUAUGCGUAUGCUUCUCUGUGAAACUUUAUGAUAGAGAGAGAAUGAAGUUUUUGGACCGACCAGAUAAUCAAUUUUGGAAUAUUCUUAGGCCAAUGAUAUGGACAGCUUGAAAUUUUUUAAAUAUUGUUUAAGAAGAGUAGUUAUUGGGGUUAGUUUAUUUAUCUCUAAUACCGUACUCUCAAACUUAAAAAAAAAUGUUUAUUGCAGAUCCAAUAGGACCAAGAUUUUAGCAGUUCACACCCGGUCAGAGGGACAAACAGAGGAACAGGAUAUCUGAAUUGGAAAAUUGCAAGGUUUCCCACUGCCCAAGCUGUUUAAGUACUGGUAUCACAACAAGUACCAAGACGGAAGAUAUAUGAAGGCCAAGCUAAUAAGUAGUUACUUCAAAUUAAUUUGAAUAGAUAUAUCAACAAAGCAGUGAAUGUUCUUUAAACUGUACAUCUGUAGAAAAGAGUUCAGGUUCAUCAGCUGGCAAUAUGACAUUAAAGUAUACAAAAUUUCACACAAAAUACAAGAAAGAACUAUUUUUUUUCCAAUGGGCAAAUGUAUAUCCUUUUAUUAAUAUUUAAUAUUUCUACUAGUUCUUAGAAGUUUUUGUGAAAUUAAAUAUAAUUUCCAGUUUAAAGGACUAUUGUAUACAAGACAAAAAUUUAUGUUUUGAAAUAAAAAUCAUGCGUAGAUAAAUGUUAAUAAAGGUGAUCAGAGGAUUAAGAAAUAAUUUUAGUAUCACUCCUGGACCUCAUUCCAUAAACAAGUUAUUACUAUUGUAAUCUUGUCACUAUGACAAUUACCAUGGUAACAGGGCUGAGCAAGAAAUCAAGGUCUUUAUGGUAGCUGCAAUGGGCUUGGACAAAGUUACCAUAAUUGCAAGUCGUCAUAAUAAUGGCUCAAUAAUUAUAGGGAUAUUAAAUUGCAUUUAUUGUUAUCUUACUCAAAGUUUUGAAAUGGGUUUCCUCUGCAAAAAUAUAUAAAUAGACUAUAUUUU
This is a long non-coding RNA of Lytechinus variegatus (green sea urchin), 2218 nucleotides long. RefSeq lists it as uncharacterized. The record is from RefSeq and is a predicted model, not a curated record. NCBI's taxonomy places the organism in Eukaryota, Metazoa, Echinodermata, Echinoidea, Temnopleuroida, Toxopneustidae. The transcript is spliced from 2 exons.